GAAAAUCUAUCAUUUCCCUAUUUCAAAAAAUACCCCAACUCCAACACAUGAGGAUGGUUCCACUUUUUCUACUACAGAGGUGGAUGUAUAACUCAGACGGAGAAAGCAAGCCGUUAGUGUAGGAGUGUGGGUGGCCGGUGAAACUAGAGAAUAAUCCCUGGCCAACAGCUUCAGAGAAACGGGUACCACAGUCCUACAGCCACAUGGAACUGAAUUCUGCCAGCAACAGUGAAUGAGCUUGGAAGUGAAUACAUCCCCAGAGCCUCAAGAAAAGACUACAGCCCUACAGGUGUAAAGAAGUCUGACUGCAAAGGGACCCCGAGACUUGAGGAAUAACAUGGUGUACGCGGGCCUCUGACUGUUGUGGCCUCUCCCGUUGCGGAGCACAGGCUCUGGAUGCACAGGCUCAGCAGCCAUGGCUCACGGGCCCAGCCGCUCCGUGGCAUGUGGGAUCUUCCCGGACUGGGGCACGAAUCCGUGUCCCCUGCAUCGGCAGGCGGACUCUCAACCACUGCACCUCCAGGGAAGCCCAUCCAUUUAAUUUUCUUAAUGGUAUCCUCUGACAAGUGAAAGUUUAAUUUUGCCUACAACACAAUGGAGAAUACCUUAAGACCUUGCCAACAGAUUAUGUUGUCAAAGUUUUGGAUUUUUGCCAGCGUAGAUUUAUCCACUGAAAUACUCUGAGAGCAGUUAACACCUCAGUAAAAAUGAAUACUCCUGAUCAGUUGCCACUGAAAGAAAUCAGAGAUCUUUGAGGAAAUUGUUAACUUCAGAUCUGGAGCAUAGAAAAUGCAAGAUGUGGACACUGAGACUCUUAGAAAUGGCAUUCAUCGAGCCCCUAAUGUAUGCUAGGCAUGGUUACAG
Globicephala melas (long-finned pilot whale) is the source of this 864-nucleotide non-coding RNA. The record is from RefSeq and is a predicted model, not a curated record. Lineage: Eukaryota; Metazoa; Chordata; Mammalia; Artiodactyla; Delphinidae.